CCUACGGGUGGCAGCAGUGGGGAAUAUUGGACAAUGGGGGGAACCCUGAUCCAGCCAUGCCGCGUGUGUGAAGAAGGCCCUCGGGUUGUAAAGCACUUUCAGUGAGGAAGAACGCCUGGUGGUUAAUACCCAUCAGGAAAGACAUCACUCACAGAAGAAGCACCGGCUAACUCCGUGCCAGCAGCCGCGGUAAUACGGAGGGUGCGAGCGUUAAUCGGAAUUACUGGGCGUAAAGCGCGCGUAGGUGGCUUGAUAAGCCGGUUGUGAAAGCCCCGGGCUCAACCUGGGAACGGCAUCCGGAACUGUCAAGCUAGAGUGCAGGAGAGGAAGGUAGAAUUCCCGGUGUAGCGGUGAAAUGCGUAGAGACCGGGAGGAAUACCAGUGGCGAAGGCGGCCUUCUGGACUGACACUGACACUGAGGUGCGAAAGCGUGGGUAGCAAACAGGAUUAGAUACCCUAGUAGUC
Molecule: ribosomal RNA, 465 nt
Filed under: Vreelandella stevensii
Lineage: Bacteria; Pseudomonadati; Pseudomonadota; Gammaproteobacteria; Oceanospirillales; Halomonadaceae
Description: partial 16S ribosomal RNA
Rfam family: Bacterial small subunit ribosomal RNA
Source: RNAcentral